Molecule: ribosomal RNA, 492 nt
Filed under: uncultured bacterium
Lineage: Bacteria
Description: partial 16S ribosomal RNA
Rfam family: Bacterial small subunit ribosomal RNA
Source: RNAcentral
AGUGAACGCUGGCGGUAGGCCUAACACAUGCAAGUCGAACGGCAGCACAGUAAGAGCUUGCUCUUACGGGUGGCGAGUGGCGGACGGGUGAGGAAUACAUCGGAAUCUAUUUUUUCGUGGGGGAUAACGUAGGGAAACUUACGCUAAUACCGCAUACGACCUACGGGUGAAAGCAGGGGAUCCUCGGACCUUGCGCGAUUGAAUGAGCCGAUGUCGGAUUAGCUAGUUGGCGGGGUAAAGGCCCACCAAGGCGACGAUCCGUAGCUGGUCUGAGAGGAUGAUCAGCCACACUGGAACUGAGACACGGUCCAGACUCCUACGGGAGGCAGCAGUGGGGAAUAUUGGACAAUGGGCGCAAGCCUGAUCCAGCCAUACCGCGUGGGUGAAGAAGGCCUUCGGGUUGUAAAGCCCUUUUGUUGGGAAAGAAAAGCAGCAGGUUAAUACCCCGCUGUUCUGACGGUACCCAAAGAAUAAGCACCGGCUAACUUCGUG